This 253-nucleotide ribosomal RNA is filed under the name uncultured bacterium. RNAcentral describes it as "partial 16S ribosomal RNA". It matches the Rfam family "Bacterial small subunit ribosomal RNA", at positions 524 to 776 of the family's 1533-position model. The record is from RNAcentral.
UACAGAGGGUGCAAGCGUUGCUCGGAAUUAUUGGGCGUAAAGGGCAGGUAGGUGGUCUCAUUUGUCUGGGGUGAAAUCCUUGAGCUUAACUCAAGAAGUGCCCUGGAAACGGUGAGACUGGAGUGCUGGAGAGGGUCGCGGAAUUCCCGGUGUAGCGGUGAAAUGCGUAGAUAUCGUUUGGAACGCCAGUGGUGAAAACGGGUCGCUGGGGACAUGCUGACGCUGAGACACGAAAGCCAGGGGAGCAAACAGG